GGGGUCAAGGCGAGCCUAUUGGAGCGGUUGGUUAGCGCCGGGGAAGACUCAUCGGCGGCUGGGCGAUCGCCGGAGCGGCGGCGCGAGGAGGAAGACGAAGCUGACGGGCGGGACCCGCCCGUCAGUGUCCGCAUGAGGGGAGAGGGCAGCGCGCGCAGCGUCCGCGUGGGCUGAGCGCUCGGGCCGGCUUGGGCCGAAGCCAAGCGGGCCGGCCGCGUGACCAGUGUGUUUUUCUUUUUCCUUUUUUGUUUAAAAAUGCUGAAUGUUUGAAUUUGUGUAAUACAUCUUGUGUAGAUUCAAAAAUCAUAGAAAUUUUUGUGUAGAUUCCCUAGAAUAAGUAGAACCCAAGAAAAAUAUUAGGUUCUGUUUUUUGAUAGUUUGCAAGUGUAUAAAAAUUACCUCUUUUAUUUAAUGAAUAAAACUUCUAGGAUUUUUAAUAAUUUAUUAGUAUGUCCAAAAAUCACCAAACUUUGUGGGGAGUCUCUGAAUAUCAUUUCCAAAUUUCACACAAAAUUUGGUGACAUUUGAAUAGUGUUUAAAUAAAAUAUUAAUAAACCCUUAUUUAGUAAUUAAAUAAUAAUUCUAGGAUAAUUAGGUAAUAAUUAGUUAAAUUCUCAAAAUUAGAGUUUGAGUGAU
Molecule: long non-coding RNA, 636 nt
Filed under: Sorghum bicolor (sorghum)
Lineage: Eukaryota; Viridiplantae; Streptophyta; Magnoliopsida; Poales; Poaceae
Description: long non-coding RNA (SBIC_LNC000364)
Source: RNAcentral